GACGAACGCUGGCGGCGCGCCUAACACAUGCAAGUCGAACGAGCGAGAGAGAGCUUGCUUUCUCAAGCGAGUGGCGAACGGGUGAGUAACGCGUGAGGAACCUGCCUCAAAGAGGGGGACAACAGUUGGAAACGACUGCUAAUACCGCAUAAGCCCACGACCCGGCAUCGGGUAGAGGGAAAAGGAGCAAUCCGCUUUGAGAUGGCCUCGCGUCCGAUUAGCUAGUUGGUGAGGUAAUGGCCCACCAAGGCGACGAUCGGUAGCCGGACUGAGAGGUUGAACGGCCACAUUGGGACUGAGACACGGCCCAGACUCCUACGGGAGGCAGCAGUGGGGAAUAUUGCACAAUGGGGGAAACCCUGAUGCAGCGACGCCGCGUGGAGGAAGAAGGUCUUCGGAUUGUAAACUCCUGUUGUUGAGGAAGAUAAUGACGGUACUCAACAAGGAAGUGACGGCUAACUACGUG
This 466-nucleotide ribosomal RNA is filed under the name uncultured bacterium. Its description in RNAcentral is "bacterial SSU rRNA". It matches the Rfam family "Bacterial small subunit ribosomal RNA", at positions 28 to 507 of the family's 1533-position model. The record is from RNAcentral.